Molecule: ribosomal RNA, 468 nt
Filed under: uncultured bacterium
Lineage: Bacteria
Description: partial 16S ribosomal RNA
Rfam family: Bacterial small subunit ribosomal RNA
Source: RNAcentral
GACGAACGCUGGCGGCGUGCUUAACACAUGCAAGUCGAACGGAAAGGCCCUGCUUUUGUGGGGUGCUCGAGUGGCGAACGGGUGAGUAACACGUGAGUAACCUGCCCUUGACUUUGGGAUAACUUCAGGAAACUGGGGCUAAUACCGGAUAGGAGCUCCUGCUGCAUGGUGGGGGUUGGAAAGUUUCGGCGGUUGGGGAUGGACUCGCGGCUUAUCAGCUUGUUGGUGGGGUAGUGGCUUACCAAGGCUUUGACGGGUAGCCGGCCUGAGAGGGUGACCGGCCACAUUGGGAUUGAGAUACGGCCCAGACUCCUACGGGAGGCAGCAGUGGGGAAUAUUGCACAAUGGGCGGAAGCCUGAUGCAGCAACGCCGCGUGCGGGAUGACGGCCUUCGGGUUGUAAACCGCUUUCGCCUGUGACGAAGCGUGAGUGACGGUAAUGGGCAAAGAAGCACCGGCUAACUACGUG